GUUUCUGUAGUGUAGUGGUUAUCACGUUCGCCUGACACGCAAAAGGGCUCCGGUUCAAAACCGGAAGGAAACA
This 73-nucleotide transfer RNA is filed under the name Merluccius polli (Benguela hake). It matches the Rfam family "tRNA". Rfam says of the family: Transfer RNA (tRNA) molecules are approximately 80 nucleotides in length. Lineage: Eukaryota; Metazoa; Chordata; Actinopteri; Gadiformes; Merlucciidae. The record is from Rfam by way of RNAcentral.